RNAcentral lists this ribosomal RNA (163 nucleotides) under Chaerophyllum aromaticum. Its description in RNAcentral is "5.8S ribosomal RNA". It matches the Rfam family "5.8S ribosomal RNA". Rfam says of the family: 5.8S ribosomal RNA (5.8S rRNA) is a component of the large subunit of the eukaryotic ribosome. The record is from RNAcentral. RNAcentral also lists the same sequence under 48 other names. Lineage: Eukaryota; Viridiplantae; Streptophyta; Magnoliopsida; Apiales; Apiaceae.
AAACGACUCUCGGCAACGGAUAUCCCGGCUCUCGCAUCGAUGAAGAACGUAGCGAAAUGCGAUACUUGGUGUGAAUUGCAGAAUCCCGUGAACCAUUGAGUCUUUGAACGCAAGUUGCGCCCGAAGCCACUAGGCUGAGGGCACGUCUGCCUGGGUGUCACGC